UGGUAAUUUGUUGUUUGACAUAUGUAUACAAAUUGACAAUUCAUUAGCCGUUAUAGGAAAACAUCAAUUGGAAAUUGAGUUUAAACAGAAAGACAUGUUGAAGUUUUUAAUAAUACAUAUUAGUGUAUGAUAUUUUUAUUAUAUAUUAUUAGAGUUUAUAUUGUUUAUAUUGUGUAUUAGUGUUGUUGCUGAAAUAAAGCAAGAUUAAGAAGAACCCCGAAAUCUUGUGUGUGCAGAUGUCCGGCAGCUGAAUCCUUCUAUAAAUUCCCAUCGGAACGAGAAUUAUCAAGGCAUGAAUUUAUUUUGGAAUAUGUGUUAGGCUGCCUUUCCACCAAUACAAACUACCCAAGUGAAGUGGUUUUGUUUUUUUCUGGAUGGCCUACGGAAUACAAUUUCAGUUAAGAACAUUUUUUAAGUAUAAUGAAAACUAUAUUAGUUUUAAUUAGGUUAA
This is a long non-coding RNA of Bactrocera tryoni, 451 nucleotides long. RefSeq lists it as uncharacterized. The transcript has 3 exons. Lineage: Eukaryota; Metazoa; Arthropoda; Insecta; Diptera; Tephritidae. The record is from RefSeq and is a predicted model, not a curated record.